Molecule: ribosomal RNA, 397 nt
Filed under: uncultured bacterium
Lineage: Bacteria
Description: bacterial SSU rRNA
Rfam family: Bacterial small subunit ribosomal RNA
Source: RNAcentral
UAAUACGUAGGAUGCAAGCGUUGUUCGGAAUUAUUGGGUGUAAAGGGCGCGUAGGCGGCCUGGCCAGUCACGGGUGAAAGCCCCCGGCUUAACCGGGGAAUUGCCCGUGAUACUACCAGGCUCGAGUACGGGAGAGGGAAGUGGAAUUCCUGGUGUAGCGGUGAAAUGCGUAGAUAUCAGGAGGAACACCGGUGGCGAAGGCGGCUUCCUGGACCGAUACUGACGCUGAGGCGCGAAAGCGUGGGUAGCAAACAGGAUUAGAUACCCUGGUAGUCCACGCCCUAAACGAUGGGCACUAGGUGUGAGGACCUAUUAAGGUCCUCGUGCCGUAGCUAACGCAUUAAGUGCCCCACCUGGGGAGUACGGCCGCAAGGUUGAAACUUAAAUGAAUUGACGG